Molecule: ribosomal RNA, 255 nt
Filed under: Bacillus halotolerans
Lineage: Bacteria; Bacillati; Bacillota; Bacilli; Caryophanales; Bacillaceae
Description: partial 23S ribosomal RNA
Rfam family: Bacterial large subunit ribosomal RNA
Source: RNAcentral
CUCAGGGUUAGUCGGGACCUAAGCCGAGGCCGAAAGGCGUAGGCGAUGGACAACAGGUUGAUAUUCCUGUACCACCUCCUCACCAUUUGAGCAAUGGGGGGACGCAGGAGGAUAGGGUAAGCGCGGUGUUGGAUAUCCGCGUCCAAGCAGUUAGGCUGGGAAAUAGGCAAAUCCGUUUCCCAUAAGGCUGAGCUGUGAUGGCGAGCGAAAUAUAGUAGCGAAGUUCCUGAUUCCACACUGCCAAGAAAAGCCUCU